GCGCAAGUGGUUUAGUGGUAAAAUCCAUCGUUGCCAUCGAUGGGCCCCCGGUUCGAUUCCGGGAUUGCGCA
RNAcentral lists this transfer RNA (71 nucleotides) under Lachancea thermotolerans CBS 6340. Its description in RNAcentral is "tRNA-Gly (GCC) (tRNA-Gly-GCC-2-1)". It matches the Rfam family "tRNA". From Rfam's summary of the family: Transfer RNA (tRNA) molecules are approximately 80 nucleotides in length. Their secondary structure includes four short double-helical elements and three loops (D, anti-codon, and T loops). The record is from Rfam by way of RNAcentral. Lineage: Eukaryota; Fungi; Ascomycota; Saccharomycetes; Saccharomycetales; Saccharomycetaceae.